Molecule: ribosomal RNA, 277 nt
Filed under: uncultured prokaryote
Description: partial 16S ribosomal RNA
Rfam family: Bacterial small subunit ribosomal RNA
Source: RNAcentral
UACGUAGGUGGCGAGCGUUGUCCGGAAUUACUGGGUGUAAAGGGCGUGUAGGCGGGGAAUCAAGUCAGAUGUGAAAUCCCGGGGCUCAACUCCGGAGUUGCAUCUGAAACUGUUUUUCUUGAGUGCUGGAGAGGAAAGCGGAAUUCCUAGUGUAGCGGUGAAAUGCGUAGAUAUUAGGAGGAACACCAGUGGCGAAGGCGGCUUUCUGGACAGUAACUGACGCUGAGGCGCGAAAGCUAGGGGAGCAAACGGGAUUAGAUACCCGGGUAGUCCCUGA